RNAcentral lists this ribosomal RNA (274 nucleotides) under uncultured bacterium. Its description in RNAcentral is "partial 16S ribosomal RNA". It matches the Rfam family "Bacterial small subunit ribosomal RNA", at positions 523 to 796 of the family's 1533-position model. The record is from RNAcentral.
AUACGAAGGGGGCUAGCGUUGUUCGGAAUCACUGGGCGUAAAGCGCGCGUAGGUGGAUCAAUUAGUUGAGGGUGAAAUCCCGGGGCUCAACCUCGGAACUGCCUUCAAUACUGUUGAUCUUGAGACCGAGAGAGGUGAGUGGAAUUCCUAGUGUAGAGGUGAAAUUCGUAGAUAUUAGGAAGAACACCAGUGGCGAAGGCGGCUCACUGGCUCGGUACUGACGCUGAGGUGCGAAAGCGUGGGGAGCAAACAGGAGUAGAUACCCUUGUAGUCC